This 253-nucleotide ribosomal RNA is filed under the name uncultured bacterium. RNAcentral describes it as "partial 16S ribosomal RNA". It matches the Rfam family "Bacterial small subunit ribosomal RNA", at positions 524 to 776 of the family's 1533-position model. The record is from RNAcentral.
UACGAAGGGGGCUAGCGUUGCUCGGAAUCACUGGGCGUAAAGGGUGCGUAGGCGGGUCUUUAAGUCCGGGGGGAAAUCCUGGAGCUCAACUCCAGAACUGCCUUUGAUACUGAAGAUCUUGAGUUCGGGAGAGGUGAGUGGAACUGCGAGUGUAGAGGUGAAAUUCGUAGAUAUUCGCAAGAACACCAGUGGCGAAGGCGGCUCACUGGCCCGGUACUGACGCUGAGGUGCGAAAGCGUGGGGAGCAAACAGG